GACGUAGGGGGCGAGCGUUGUCCGGAUUUAUUGGGCGUAAAGGGCGCGUAGGCGGGCCCGCAAGUCAGGGGUGAAAGCCCCCAGCUCAACUGGGGAAGUGCCCCUGAUACUUCGGGCCUCGAGGGGAGGUAGGGGCGUGCGGAACUUCCGGUGGAGCGGUGAAAUGCGUAGAUAUCGGAAGGAACACCGGUGGCGAAAGCGGCGCGCG
RNAcentral lists this ribosomal RNA (208 nucleotides) under uncultured bacterium. Its description in RNAcentral is "partial 16S ribosomal RNA". It matches the Rfam family "Bacterial small subunit ribosomal RNA", at positions 524 to 730 of the family's 1533-position model. The record is from RNAcentral.